This is a long non-coding RNA of Mus musculus (house mouse), 2614 nucleotides long. RefSeq annotates it as predicted gene, 41090. The record is from RefSeq and is a predicted model, not a curated record. NCBI's taxonomy places the organism in Eukaryota, Metazoa, Chordata, Mammalia, Rodentia, Muridae. The transcript has 6 exons.
UUCGGGGACAAUCUCUUGUGUUCAGGAGAACCCUAGAAUCACCUGUGAUGUCACCAGUGUUGUGGUGACACCAGCAGCCUAUGGAGAAUCCCUUUAGAGCCUAUUAGUUUUGCAAGCAGGCAUGUUGUUCAGGCUGCUUAGGCUAUUUUGAAGUGAGAAUGGAAAACAAGGAGAGGCCAUAUCAAGACAGAAGAAGGCUGACCUUCUAUCAUGCUGUAGAACAACAAGAAAGAAAUGGUCCUGGGGAAGGUCCAGAUCUACUGGAAGGCAUCAUCCCAACCCUCCACCAUCUCUAAGGAGGAGGAGAGGUUGAAGAGGUUGGAGAAUCUGACAUUCUCCAGAAGAUGACAAAUGGGAGGGAUGAACUCUGGGGAAUCCUGGCCCAUUACACUAACAAGGAUUUGAACAACAACAGGACUUCAGUGCAUCAUGCUACAGCUUCCUGCUUCUACUGCUAUACCUGCCUCAUGCAACCAUGCCUCCCUCCCAGGAAGACCUCUUAUGCUUCUGGAAGUAAAAGCUCCAAAACAAUCUUCUAUAAGCUCUGCUGGUCAAGAUCUCAACUUCUCCCCUAAGAAGCAGUAUGUAAGCUAAGUGCCACCAUGAUGGGCACCACAGCACGAGGUAGAGCCUGGACUGCCACCGUGAGAGAUGGGCAACACCGCACAAGUUACAGCCUGGACUUCAGGAGAGAACCCCGCAGGACUCAUAGGGUUGGUCGAAUCACUAAUGUAUUUGCACCAGCCGACCUGGGAUGACUGCCAACAGCUUCUGUAGACCUUAUUCACCACAGAGGAGAGAGAAAGGAUUUUCCUCGAGGCUCAGAAAAACAUCCGAGAUGAGGUUGGGCAGCCUGUCCAACCUCCAGCCGAGAUAGUUGAAGGAUUCCCGCUAACCCAGCCCCGAUGGGAUUACAAUACAGCACAAGGUUACAUCCCAACAGCCAGCCUUUGUUCGCUUUUGAAUGGCGAGAUUCUGAGAGUGGACAAGCUGGACAGCUCACAUGGACGAGGUUGCCUCAGGGAUUCAAGAACUCGCCCACCUUGUUUGAUGAAGCCCUACACCGAGACCUUGCCCCCUUCCGAGCCAGUAACCCACAGGUGACUCUUCUGCAGUAUGUAGAUGACCUCCUACUAGCUGCAGAAACAUGUGAGGACUGUGAAACUGGGACUCAAAACCUCCUGGUCGAGCUAGGUUAGCUGGGGUAUCGGGUCUCUGCUAAAAAGGCUCAGUUAUGCCGGACAGAAGUGACCUACUUAGGAUAUGUUCUGAGAGAUGGACAACAGUGGCUCACAGAAGCCAGGAAACAAGCCGUUAUGCAGAUCCUGGCCCCAACCACUGCUAGCCAGGUAAGAGAGUUCCUGGGGACUGCUAGGUUUUAUAGACUCUGGAUUCCCAAAUUUGCCACUCUGGCAGCCCCAUUGUACCCAUUAACCAAAGAAAAAGGAGAGUUCAUCUGGACCAGAGAACAUCAGCUAGUCUUUCAAACUCUCAAAAAGGCGCUACUGCAGCCUCCAGCAUUGGCCCUGCCAGAUGUGAGCAAGCCUUUUACCGUAUACAUUGAUGAAAGAAAUGGGGUGGCAAGGGGAGUCCUUACCCAUGUUUUGGGGCCAUGGAAGCACCCAGUAGCCUACUUAUCAAAGAAGCUGGACCCUGUGGCCAGCGGAUGGCCCUCCUGCCUGCAAGUGAUAGCAGCCACGGCUGUGCUAGUAAGAGAUGCUUACAAACUGACUAUGGGCCAGAAUGUUACCAUAAUGGCCCCGCACUCUCUUGAGAGCAUUGUCAGGUAACCACUGGACCGCUGGAUGACUAACGCCAGAAUGACGCACUACCAGAGCCUAUUGCUGACAGAGCAAGUAAGUUUUGAACCCCCAGCCAAUCUCAACCCUGCUACUUUACUACCUGGGGUUGACGAGGCCCCUGCACAUAAGUGUGAGGAAAUACUGGCAGAAGAGACUGGAAUCUGGCCAGACUUCACAGACCAACAUUGGCCAGGGGAGAUGACCUGGUUCACUGAUGGAAGCAGCUUCAUGGUAGAAGGUAAGCGGAGGGCUGGGGCAGCAUUAGUGGAUUAGUGGAAAGUCUGUCAUAUGGGCCAGCAGCCUGCCGGAGGGUACAUCAGCUCAAAAAGCGGAACUUAUCUCACUAAUUCAAGCCUUAAGGCUGGCAGAAGGAAGGACUCUUAAUGUCUAUACCGUCAGCCGGUAUGCUUUUGCCACGGCCCAUGUUCACAAAGCAAUAUACCAACACCAUGGACUGCUAAUAUCUGCCGGCAAGGAUAUCAAAAAUAAAGAAGAAAUUCUCAGCUUAUUAGAAGCUGUCCAUCUGUUCCAUAGAGUGGCAAUUAUCCAUUGCCCAGGACACCAGAAGGGAACGGGGCCCGCUGAAAAGGGAAACCAAAUGGCAGACCAAGAAGCCAAAAAAGCAGCCCAAGGGCCAAUGACUCUGGUGGCAAGAACCCAACAGCCCGCCAACGAGGAAAUAACUAAAAGAACCCUCACAGAUGAAGAGGGGCGAGAUUACUUAGAUAACAUACACCAUCUGACUCAUUUAGGAACUAAAAAAUUAAUAAAAUUGGUUAGUAAGUCCCCCUAUUACAUUCCUGGAUUAAAAA